GACAAAGCAACCAAAGCUUCCAGGGUGUACAGGAGGUCCAAAGUCACCAGAAGGAAGAAGAAAACCUGAAACAGCGAGAGCUGGCCAAACGCUGCUAAGACCUAUGCAAAUAAGACCCACCCACGCUACCUGGAAAUCGGGCCUGGGAAGUCAGAAAACAAAGCACAUGCGUGCAGGGCUGCACGAACGGAGGCGGAGGAGGCGGCUCCGAGGGAGCAGCUGAUCCUGAAACAGCAGUGGAUCCCUGGGAGAGCAGCACAGAUAAAGAUCCAGGCAAUAAUGAUGCUUCCUCCUCUUGGACAGCCUUUUACAGUUCUGGCCAUGGAACUUCAGAGAAGAAGUCCUUGAUGGUUUCCGUGGAAUCGAUUCCCAGUGGGGGAAAUGAUGAGUCAAGGUUACAUACAGUUUACGGCCUCUGCAGAUCAACUCUUCAAAUUAUUCGAAUGACCCAUAUGAGAAACAGAGAAAAGCCAAGUAUUUCUGGUUGAAACGGAGAAGCUGGGCUGGAGUGCGCCUCCCUCCAACUCCCCGCUUUAACUCCCUAAG
This 546-nucleotide long non-coding RNA is filed under the name Homo sapiens (human). Its description in RNAcentral is "non-protein coding lnc-RNF183-2:2". Lineage: Eukaryota; Metazoa; Chordata; Mammalia; Primates; Hominidae. The record is from RNAcentral.